UCCAAUCCCCGGAUCCAGUUUAGCUUCCUGCGCAACUUCUCCCUAGUCCCAACCCAGCCGCAGCUCAGGGCGGCAAUCCGUCGAGCACCUGCCGCACACGCUCCACUCCGCUGCUCCCUGCGGCCACCACCACCCAUGGCGUCCGCCGCGAGGGCUCUGGGAGCUCUCCUCCACAGGGCCUCGUCUCUCUCCUCCUCUGCCUCCGCUCUCAGGAGCGCCUCCCUUCUACACAGGAAUGGCUCUGCUACUGGCGCCAGCUUGUUCCAGGGGCACGUGGCUAGGCGAAGGAUUUGGACGUUCCAGCCGCUCUGUAUGGGGCGGCGUUCCUGCAAGAUCGCCGGGAGGAAGGGUGCCCAGAAUUUGAAAAAGAUGAAGCGCAACAGCAAAAUUGGAAAAGAAAUCGUUGCUGCCAUUAAAAAGGGUGGCCCAAGUCCUUCAUCCAACACAGCUUUAGCGGCGAUACUAGAGAAAGUAAGAGAGCUGGAUGUCCCCAAGGAAGUUGUUGAGCGUAACAUCAAAAGAGCUUCAGAAAAGGGCCAGGAUACUUACAUAGAAAAGGUUUAUGAGGUUUAUGGUUUUGGUGGAGUAAGUAUGGUCGUUGAGGUCCUUACAGACAAAAUUACAAGAUCUAUUGCGGAUAUUAGAAAUGUUGUAAAGGACUGUGGAGCAAAAUUGGCUGAUCCCGGGUCUGUUACAUUCAGAUUCCGACAAGCUCGCGUGGUUAACAUAAAAGUUACAGAUGCCGAUAAGGACCAACUACUCUCUGUUGCUUUGGAUGCUGGUGCAGAUGAUGUUAUCGAACCAAAUUUUGAUGGUGAUGAUGAAGACUCUGAAGAAGAUGUUAUAGAAAGGUACCCAACUGAUAUCAAUCGAAAAUGUUUUACAAGAUAGUUACUACAUCAGAAAACUACCCUGUUGUGCUAUCAAAGCUACAAGAGGAAGGAAUAAAGUUUGAAACAGAUAAUGGUUAUGAACUUCUGCCUCUCAAUCCAGUUGAGGUAGAUGACGAGGCCAUGGAUCUAAACAAGGACCUUGUAUUGAAGUUGCUUGAACUCGAUGAUGUCGAUGCUGUCUACACGGACCAAAAGUGACGGUCGGUUCUGAACUGCAGGCUCUCAAUUCUAAUGACUCUGCCCGGCAUCUCAUAAACUUUACCUUACAUUCCAACAUUCAGUGCCCAGCGUUCUCUCCACUGACAAUCAGACGCAUAUUGGCAAUGUGGUCGUAAGCGAUACAAAUAAACAACACUGACAUAAUGUAUGGGUAUUGACGAUGAUUGUAAUGAAGAGGUUUUUGGGGAUUUUAAA
Molecule: RNA transcript, 1307 nt
Organism: Lolium perenne
Lineage: Eukaryota; Viridiplantae; Streptophyta; Magnoliopsida; Poales; Poaceae
Gene name: probable transcriptional regulatory protein At2g25830
Source: RefSeq, a predicted model, not a curated record